UUUGACCCCUAGCCUGGGAACUUCCAUGUACCGCAAGUGCAGCCCUUAAAAAAAAAAAAAAAGCCGAAGGAAAAAAAAAAAGAAAAAAAGAAAAAAAAGAAAGAAAAGGGAAGGGGGGAGGUUGAUCUGGAUUCUCACUGUCACCUUUAUCAGGCACCUACUGUGUGCCAGGCGAUGGGCUCAGUCCCAAUUUAUGUGGAUCGUCUCGUCCAGUCCCCACCCUGGCCCUGUGCCAGUGUUGUUAUCCUGCUCUGACAGAGAAGGAAACUGAGACUCAGGGGCGUUAUGUAACUUGCCCAAGGUCACACAGCUCAUCAGCAGCAAAGCCAGGAUCCUAGCCCAGGUCUGUCAGCCUCCAGUGGGUUCUCCCUGCUGCCAGAAAGUCCUCCUCCUGGAAAAGCAGGUCUGGGGUUGGGGUUUUCAGUCAGAGCUCAUCAGGAUCCCCAGAGGCAAAUCUAUUGUCAUCUGCCCUCCUCCUCCUCACCCAUCUGCCAAGGCAAGUCGCAGAGUGGAAAAGAGCCAGUGAGGGUGGAGCAUGGAGGGAGCAUCAGAAGAUGACACUGGAGAGGAAGCAGGGACCAGACCCACCUGGUCAGGAGUUUGGAUUUUAUUCUAUGUGCUAA
This 623-nucleotide long non-coding RNA is filed under the name Sus scrofa (pig). Its description in RNAcentral is "lncRNA (ENSSSCG00065075302.1)". The record is from RNAcentral. Lineage: Eukaryota; Metazoa; Chordata; Mammalia; Artiodactyla; Suidae.